Molecule: small RNA, 553 nt
Filed under: Pan troglodytes (chimpanzee)
Lineage: Eukaryota; Metazoa; Chordata; Mammalia; Primates; Hominidae
Description: processed transcript
Source: RNAcentral
UCCCUGGCUCGCCGGCUGGCGUCGCCACCGCCUCCUCGUCCCCGGCCACCGCUGUCGCCGCUGCUGCAAUUCAAGGCGCACACUAUCCCACUUUCCCGCUGGAGGCGCAGAGGAUGCCCCUUGAGCCAGACCUGGAGAAAUAGCCCCAGGGCCCGGCAGGAGGAGCCUUGGUGGCGAGAAAGGAAAUCCAGGCUCCCCUUUCCUUAAAGCCACUGCAGCAGCUGGGAAGGCGCCCACAGAGCGGGCGCGCCAAGCGGGACGCGGGAGUCGCAGAGAGGGACCCGGGCGCCUGCUGAGCUCCGCUGGCAGAGUUUGCAAGUGGCGGAGACCCUUCAGUUUAUAGUCUACUGAGGUGAUUAAACAGCUGGAUUAAGAGUUUCCAUCCCGGAGUCAAACAGACUGAAUUCAAAUCCCCAUUUCACCUCUAACCAGCUGUGUGACCUUGGGCAAGUUACUUCCCUUCUCUGGGCUUCAGCGUACCUGCUUGUAAAAUAAAGGUGGCAUCCCUGAGUCCUGAUGCCUGACUGGAUGGAGGCCCACCAGCUUCUGUUCC